RNAcentral lists this ribosomal RNA (366 nucleotides) under Beijerinckiaceae bacterium. Its description in RNAcentral is "bacterial SSU rRNA". It matches the Rfam family "Bacterial small subunit ribosomal RNA", at positions 1 to 393 of the family's 1533-position model. Lineage: Bacteria; Pseudomonadati; Pseudomonadota; Alphaproteobacteria; Hyphomicrobiales; Beijerinckiaceae. The record is from RNAcentral.
CAACUUGAGAGUUUGAUCCUGGCUCAGAACGAACGCUGGCGGCAGGCUUAACACAUGCAAGUCGAACGGACGUAGCAAUACGUUAGUGGCAGACGGGUGAGGAACACGUGGGAACAUUCCUUUCAGUUCGGAAUAACUCAGGGAAACUUGAGCUAAUACCGGAUACGUCCUUCGGGAGAAAGAUUUAUCGCUGAAAGAUUGGCCCGCGUCUGAUUAGCUAGUUGGUGAGGUAAUGGCUCACCAAGGCUACGAUCAGUAGCUGAUCUGAGAGGAUGAUCAGCCACAUUGGGACUGAGACACGGCCCAAACUCCUACGGGAGGCAGCAGUGGGGAAUAUUGGACAAUGGGCGCAAGCCUGAUCCAGCC